Syngnathus acus (greater pipefish) is the source of this 1297-nucleotide long non-coding RNA. RefSeq lists it as uncharacterized. The transcript has 2 exons. The record is from RefSeq and is a predicted model, not a curated record. NCBI's taxonomy places the organism in Eukaryota, Metazoa, Chordata, Actinopteri, Syngnathiformes, Syngnathidae.
ACAUGCAUGCUUGCAGGUCAUAUGGUCCAUAGGGCUUGUCUCGUGUGUGUGUGUGUGUGUGUGUGUGUGUGUUUGGUGGCGGGGGGUGGCUGCCCCCAGGUAGCCUGAAUGCGCGCCAGUGGGGCAUCCGCGACGUUGACAGCUGCCUGGAGGCUUUUCACCACGCAGUCGUCAUUUCAGAUAAUAUCCCCAACGCUCUCUCUUCUCGGCAAUUUGUAUAUGAAUAACGGAAUAAUUUCCCCCCCUUUGUUCCAUCGGCGCUACCUCCAAACCAAAAUAAAGAUGCCUUUUAGUAUUAAAGUGGUAGAAAAUUACAGGUAAUUAUCUUUGACGGUAAAAACGCUGUAAUCAGCGGGCUACAUCAAAAAUUACCCUAAUUAUGCCUGCAUUUAUGAGAAAGAGGGAGAAAAAGGCUCACUUGGAUAAAAACCCAGCAAAUUGUCCCAAAUAUCUCCUUCAUAUUGAACGGCGCUGCAGCUGGCUGCUUUGUUCGGCAUCGAUCCCACAGAGCUUGGCUUUUAACGGCCUGCAUUAGGACGGAGAAACGGCAGAAAACAUUUUGUCAAUACUUCCAAUAAUUGAGGGUGGAAUGACCUGCAUGCGGCGAGAGUCUUUGGAGGUGAAUGUAGGCAGCGGCGGUGCAGGGUACGCCCCCCAAGCCUCCCCCUCUGCCUCCCCCUUGGCUUCCACAGCUGUGGUGAGUGAGGGGGCAGAUGACCGGAGAUUUGGCCCCUGGGAGAGCGCCGAGCCAUCCUGGUGCUAUUAGACUGGUGGCUAAUAAUAGGUGUUUCAGACUCGGGGAAGAUCAAUCAGAGGGGAAUGGGGAAUGUUCAGGCCAGCGCUUUUUACACAUCGGCCCAGAUGGAUGAAAUUACACUUGUCAGUUUUUAGUUGCAUUACUCCCAAAUUGGUUGUCUACUCUUUUUUUUUUCCCUCCCACCCUUCACUGCUUCAUUCCUGCUCUUGUUUUUUCUCACUCUCUCUUUUUUUUUUUUUUUAGCCCUGGUUCAUGUGUCAAUGUCCUGCUAAAAGGAUUCAGCAGUGAAAUCCCUGUCAUUUUGUGCCGGGCCCUCCAGGUACACGUAUUCACUUAAAAGACAUUAGUUCCUUGUCUGCGAGUGAACAUUUGUCAUGUGAUGGCCGAGCGCGUGAUUGUGUAAAUGCGGAGAUGACAUUUUGUAUGAGGCGUGGAAAAACUGUCAGGAAUAUUCAAAUACGCUGUUCUUGCUGCUUUGUGUCAUUUGAAUGUAAACAGCUACUCAAUGUGAAAUCAAUUGAAAUUCAUCAAUGCACGAGA